RNAcentral lists this ribosomal RNA (495 nucleotides) under uncultured bacterium. Its description in RNAcentral is "partial 16S ribosomal RNA". It matches the Rfam family "Bacterial small subunit ribosomal RNA", at positions 28 to 523 of the family's 1533-position model. The record is from RNAcentral.
GAUGAACGCUGGCGGCGUGCCUAACACAUGCAAGUCGAACGAAGCACUUUAGCUUGAUUCUUCGGAUGAAGGCUAUUGUGACUGAGUGGCGGACGGGUGAGUAACGCGUGGGUAACCUGCCUCAUACAGGGGGAUAACAGUUAGAAAUGACUGCUAAUACCGCAUAAGACCACGGAGUCGCAUGACUCAGUGGGAAAAACUCUGGUGGUAUGAGAUGGACCCGCGUCUGAUUAGGUAGUUGGUGGGGUAACGGCCUACCAAGCCGACGAUCAGUAGCCGACCUGGGAGGGUGACCGGCCACAUUGGGACUGAGACACGGCCCAAACUCCUACGGGAGGCAGCAGUGGGGAAUAUUGCACAAUGGGGGAAACCCUGAUGCAGCGACGCCGCGUGAGCGAAGAAGUAUUUCAGUAUGUAAAGCUCUAUCAGCAGGGAAGAAAAUGACGGUACCUGACUAAGAAGCACCGGCUAAAUACGUGCCAGCCGCCGCCGUAA